This 586-nucleotide ribosomal RNA is filed under the name uncultured bacterium. RNAcentral describes it as "partial 16S ribosomal RNA". It matches the Rfam family "Bacterial small subunit ribosomal RNA", at positions 355 to 1375 of the family's 1533-position model. The record is from RNAcentral.
UGGGGAAUUUUGGACAAUGGGCGAAAGCCUGAUCCAGCAAUGCCGCGUGUGUGAAGAAGGCCUUCGGGUUGUAAAGCACUUUUGUCCGGAAAGAAAUCCUUGGCUCUAAUACAGUCGGGGGAUGACGGUACCGGAAGAAUAAGCACCGGCUAACUACGUGCCAGCAGCCGCGGUAAUACGUAGGGUGCAAGCGUUAAUCGGAAUUACUGGGCGUAAAGCGUGCGCAGGCGGUUUGCUAAGACCGAUGUGAAAUCCCCGGGCUCAACCUGGGAACUGCAUUGGUGACUGGCAGGCUAGAGUAUGGCAGAGGGGGGUAGAAUUCCACGUGUAGCAGUGAAAUGCGUAGAGAUGUGGAGGAAUACCGAUGGCGAAGGCAGCCCCCUGGGCCAAUACUGACGCUCAUGCACGAAAGGCGUGGGGAGCAAACAGGAUUAGAUACCCUGGUAGUCCCACGCCCUAAACGAUGUCAACUAGUUGUUGGGGAUUCAUUUCCUUAGUAACGUAGCUAACGCGUGAAGUUGACCGCCUGGGGAGUACGGUCGCAAGAUUAAACUCAAAGGAAUUGACGGGGUCAUAGCUGUUUCCU